Anolis sagrei ordinatus is the source of this 312-nucleotide long non-coding RNA. RefSeq lists it as uncharacterized. NCBI's taxonomy places the organism in Eukaryota, Metazoa, Chordata, Lepidosauria, Squamata, Anolidae. The record is from RefSeq and is a predicted model, not a curated record.
CCAGAUCUUUUUUCAGUUGAUCUUUUAGAGCCACUGCUAAGGCCAUUUCCAAUGAUUACUUACAUGUUUUCAUUCUUCAUUGAGAUGCUUUAAUGAAAGAAAGUCUGAAGCAGCGUGAUACACUUGUAUCUUAUUUGUCAAAUUGGUGACACUACAAGAAAAGCAGGCUUCUCCCAGUGGAAUAAAAUGAAUAUAUGUGGUGCUACAGUGACUGACACAGUCAGGAAUUUUGCUGGUUUGUCUGGGACGUCAUCAUAAUGGCUGCCAGAAUCGCAGUGUAUUGUGACAAAUCUGGCAGUGCCCAGCAGGGGA